AUUGAACGCUGGCGGCAUGCUUUACACAUGCAAGUCGAACGGUAACAGGGUGCUUGCACCGCUGACGAGUGGCGAACGGGUGAGUAAUGCGUCGGAACGUGCCGAGUAGUGGGGGAUAACGCAGCGAAAGUUGUGCUAAUACCGCAUACGUACUGAGGUAGAAAGUGGGGGACCUUCGGGCCUCACGCUAUUCGAGCGGCCGACGUCUGAUUAGCUAGUAGGUGAGGUAAAGGCUCACCUAGGCGACGAUCAGUAGCGGGGCUGAGAGGAUGAUCCGCCACACUGGGACUGAGACACGGCCCAGACUCCUACGGGAGGCAGCAGUGGGGAAUUUUGGACAAUGGGCGAAAGCCUGAUCCAGCCAUGCCGCGUGUCUGAAGAAGGCCUUUGGGUUGUAAAGGACUUUUGUCAGGGAGGAAAUCCCUAGUGCUAAUAACACUGGGGGAUGACAGUACCUGAAGAAUAAGCACCGGCUAACUACGUGCCAGCCGCCGCCGUAA
Molecule: ribosomal RNA, 500 nt
Filed under: uncultured bacterium
Lineage: Bacteria
Description: partial 16S ribosomal RNA
Rfam family: Bacterial small subunit ribosomal RNA
Source: RNAcentral